This is a non-coding RNA of Arachis ipaensis, 533 nucleotides long. NCBI's taxonomy places the organism in Eukaryota, Viridiplantae, Streptophyta, Magnoliopsida, Fabales, Fabaceae. The record is from RefSeq and is a predicted model, not a curated record.
AAACAUCUCCCAGGGUCACAUACAAGUUAAGAGAUAUAUGUUGACACUAAUAUUUGAUAGAUGGGUAAGUUAAGUUUAACAAGCAUGUUUUCACUUUUCCUUAUAAUGUCAGUUGUGUUGAUGAUGAGAAUUGAAGUGGAUGGACAAAAAACUGAAGUUUGUGAAGAUAGUUGGCUUAGACUUAAAUCAUGUGGAGGUGUGAUUUGUUACAAAGAAUGUGUGAAAAAAUGGCCAACCUUCAUAUCUGCACGUUGCACAUUUCUCAAUUGCGUUUGUGCCUACGCUUGUUAAUUAAUUGAUUAUUAUUAACUAAGAUUUUUGAUUUGCUUGGUUGUGAUAAAAAGCAAAAUUUUUCUUUUAACUUUGAAGUUAAAAAUUGUGGUUAUUAUCUAAAGUAGUAACAAGUGCUGGUAUGUGUGUAACUUGAUCAUUGUUAAAGAAAUAAGUUGGUGGUGGUGAUUUGAAUAAUUAAGUUAAUUAAGUUGUAAUUGUUGACUUUAUCAAAAUUGAAUGAAUAACUAGUUUAGCUAUAA